This 374-nucleotide unclassified non-coding RNA is filed under the name soil metagenome. RNAcentral's name for it is "partial contains 5.8S ribosomal RNA, internal transcribed spacer 2, and large subunit ribosomal RNA". The stretch from base 1 to 118 matches the Rfam family "5.8S ribosomal RNA", at positions 35 to 154 of the family's 154-position model. The record is from RNAcentral.
GAUGAAGAACGCAGCGAAAUGCGAUAAGUAAUGAAUUGCAGAAUUCAGUGAAUCAUCGAAUCUUUGAACGCAUCUUGCGCUCCUUGGUAUUCUGAGGAGCAUGCCUGUUUGAGUGUCAUUAAAUUCUCAACUACACUGACUUUGAAUUGGUGUGGCUUGGAUUUGGGGGGAAAAUUGUUGUGGGCUUUUUGUAUAGUCUGCUCCCCUGAAAUUGAUUAGCGGUACCUUUGUGGAACUGUCUACAGGUGUGAUAAUUAUCUACAUCUUAGACAUCUGCUGGAAUGCUGCUUUCUAAACCUUACUUGUAUUGACAAUCUUGACCUCAAAUCAGGUAGGACUACCCGCUGAACUUAAGCAUAUCAAUAAGCGGAGGA